This 490-nucleotide ribosomal RNA is filed under the name uncultured bacterium. RNAcentral describes it as "partial 16S ribosomal RNA". It matches the Rfam family "Bacterial small subunit ribosomal RNA", at positions 30 to 507 of the family's 1533-position model. The record is from RNAcentral.
AUUGGACGCUGGCGGCAGGCCUAACACAUGCAAGUCGAACGGUAACAGGAAGCAGCUUGCUGCUUCGCUGACGAGUGGCGGACGGGUGAGUAAUGUCUGGGAAGCUGCCUGAUGGAGGGGGAUAACUACUGGAAACGGUAGCUAAUACCGCAUAAUGUCGCAAGACCAAAGAGGGGGACCUUCGGGCCUCUUGCCAUCGGAUGUGCCCAGAUGGGAUUAGCUUGUUGGUGGGGUAACGGCUCACCAAGGCGACGAUCCCUAGCUGGUCUGAGAGGAUGACCAGCCACACUGGGACUGAGACACGGUCCAGACUCCUACGGGAGGCAGCAGUGGGGAAUAUUGCACAAUGGGCGCAAGCCUGAUGCAGCCAUGCCGCGUGUAUGAAGAAGGCCUUCGGGUUGUAAAGUACUUUCAGCGGGGAGGAAGGGAGUAAAGUUAAUACCUUUGCUCAUUGACGCUACCCGCAGAAGAAGCACCGGCUAACUCCGUG